UACGAAGGGGGCGAGCGUUGUUCGGAAUUACUGGGCGUAAAGGGCGCGUAGGUGGCCUGGCAAGCGUGCGGUGAAAGCUCGGGGCUCAACCCCGAGUCGGCCGUGCGAACUGCUAUGGCUCGAGCACUGUAGAGGCAGGCGGAAUUCCGGGUGUAGCGGUGGAAUGCGUAGAGAUCCGGAAGAACACCGGUGGCGAAGGCGGCCUGCUGGGCAGUAGCUGACACUGAGGCGCGACAGCGUGGGGGAGCAAACAGG
RNAcentral lists this ribosomal RNA (255 nucleotides) under uncultured bacterium. Its description in RNAcentral is "partial 16S ribosomal RNA". It matches the Rfam family "Bacterial small subunit ribosomal RNA", at positions 524 to 776 of the family's 1533-position model. The record is from RNAcentral.